ACACUUAUGGUGAAGCGGUUAUCAUGCUUGCCUUCCAAUUUGUGAUUACGUAAUUCGCUAGCAAGCGGCAGGGGUUCGACUCCCCUUAAGUGUA
Molecule: non-coding RNA, 94 nt
Organism: Mycena rebaudengoi
Lineage: Eukaryota; Fungi; Basidiomycota; Agaricomycetes; Agaricales; Mycenaceae
Source: the annotation of a GenBank genome assembly